Molecule: ribosomal RNA, 440 nt
Filed under: uncultured bacterium
Lineage: Bacteria
Description: partial 16S ribosomal RNA
Rfam family: Bacterial small subunit ribosomal RNA
Source: RNAcentral
CCUACGGGAGGCUGCAGUGGGGAAUAUUGCACAAUGGCGGAAACCCUGAUGCAGCGACGCCGCGUGAGUGAAGAAGUAACUCGUUAUGUAAAGCUCUAUCAGCAGGGAAGAAAAUGACGGUACCUGAGUAAGAAGCCCCGGCUACCUACGUGCAAGGAGCCGCGGGAAUACGUAGGGGGCAAGGGUUAUCCGGAUUUACUGGGGGUAAAGGGAGCGUAGACGGCAGUGCAAGUCUGGAGUGAAAGGUGGGGGGUCAACCCCCGGACUGCUCUGGAAACUGUACGGCUGGAGUGCAGGAGAGGUAAGUGGAAUUCCUGGUGUAGCGGUGAAAUGCGUAGAUAUUAGGAAGAACACCGGUGGCGAAGGCGGCUUACUGGACUGUAACUGACGUUGAGGCUCGAAAGCGUGGGGAGCGAACAGGAUUAGAUACCCUUGUAGUC